CCGACCCCAACACGUGCUGAGGUAAUAUGCCACAAAAUCUCCAGAGAAAGGGGGAGAAAAUCUACAGAAAAUUAAAAGCGUUUUAUUGUAUGAUAUUAUAUUGAAAAUAUAAUAAAGUCAAAGAAAACAAAACACAAUUUGAUGGGCUGAAUACAAAGAAGGCUACCUCAAAUGAGAAAUCACAAACCAAGAUAUUGAAUCAAUCAAGUUGCAUAAAAGAACGGAAAAUUUUUGGUUGCAAGAGAUGUUUGUAACUUCAUUUUCACUUUAAUUGGAGUUAAAUGGUUUCCCUUCACGUGGCACGGUGAGAUUUUCAGGUUUUUCACUUGACUUGAAGUGUUUGAAUGGUGAGAUGAUAGAGCUUUUAGUGAGAUUGAGGCAUCUCUUUCUGAUUAAGAUGCCUUUUCUUGGAAACUUGCUUUCUAAUUUGCAGCUCAUGCUGUUCUUUAUCUAAAGGACAAUAAUAUCACCUAGUAAACUUAUUACUGAAAUUUCAUUUUGUGAUUUUCUUCUGUGCUACAAUAAGGUGGCAGAUGUUUCUGAAGCAGUUCGACAAUAUGCCGACGCAUUGAUGUUGUCUGGUGAGUCAGCUAUUGGAUCAUAUGGAGAGAAAGCUCUUUCUGUCUUGCGGAUGGUCAGCAAUCGAAUGGAACU
Molecule: unclassified non-coding RNA, 654 nt
Filed under: Hevea brasiliensis (rubber tree)
Lineage: Eukaryota; Viridiplantae; Streptophyta; Magnoliopsida; Malpighiales; Euphorbiaceae
Source: RNAcentral